Molecule: unclassified non-coding RNA, 599 nt
Filed under: Hevea brasiliensis (rubber tree)
Lineage: Eukaryota; Viridiplantae; Streptophyta; Magnoliopsida; Malpighiales; Euphorbiaceae
Source: RNAcentral
GACCAAGUUGCUAUCAUAUGCAACGCUGUUAUUUGGGUUCUAUAUGGCUUGGAAUAUAGGGGCCAAUGAUGUGGCUAAUGCCAUGGGGACUUCUGUGGGGUCUGGAGCAUUAAGUCUCCGGCAGGCGGUUCUAACUGCUGCUAUCUUGGAGUUCUCAGGAGCAUUUUUGAUGGGUACCCAUGUGACCAGUACAAUGCAGAAGGGAAUUCUUGUGGCUAAUGUGUUUCAGGGGAAGGAUACUCUGUUGUUUGCUGGCUUGCUCUCUUCUUUGGCUGCUGCUGGUACUUGGUUGCAGGUUGCAUCAUAUUAUGGUUGGCCUGUUUCUACCACGCACUGUAUAGUAGGAUCAAUGGUUGGAUUUGGUCUUGUCUAUGGAGGAGCUGGUGCUGUCUUCUGGAGUUCACUGGCAAGGGUAACUUCAUCGUGGGUGAUCUCACCGAUAAUGGGAGCAGUAGUGUCAUUCCUUGUCUACAAAUGCAUCCGUAGGUUUGUGUACAGUGCUCCAAAUCCAGGGCAAGCUGCAGCUGCAGCUGCACCAGUUGCUGUCUUUGCGGGUGUAACAGGAAUCUCUUUUGCAGCCUUUCCUCUAAGCAAGACCU